GCCGGGCAUGGUGGUGCAUGCCUGUAAUCCUAGCUACUCGGGAGGCUGAGGCGAGAGGAUUGCUUGAACCUGGGAGGCGGAGGUUGCAGUAAACUGAGAUCACACCACUGCACUCCAGCCCAGGUAACAGAGCAAGACUCUGUCUCAA
Callithrix jacchus (white-tufted-ear marmoset) is the source of this 148-nucleotide unclassified non-coding RNA. It matches the Rfam family "Metazoan signal recognition particle RNA". Rfam says of the family: The signal recognition particle (SRP) is a universally conserved ribonucleoprotein. It is involved in the co-translational targeting of proteins to membranes. The record is from Ensembl. Lineage: Eukaryota; Metazoa; Chordata; Mammalia; Primates; Cebidae.